UACGUAGGGUGCAAGCGUUAAUCGGAAUUACUGGGCGUAAAGCGUGCGCAGGCGGUUAUGUAAGACAGGUGUGAAAUCCCAGGGCUUAACCUUGGAACUGCAUUUGUGACUGCAUAGCUAGAGUACGGUAGAGGGGGAUGGAAUUCCGCGUGUAGCAGUGAAAUGCGUAGAUAUGCGGAGGAACACCGAUGGCGAAGGCAAUCCCCCUGGACCUGUACUGACGCUCAUGCACGAAAGCGUGGGGGAGCAAAC
Molecule: ribosomal RNA, 252 nt
Filed under: uncultured bacterium
Lineage: Bacteria
Description: partial 16S ribosomal RNA
Rfam family: Bacterial small subunit ribosomal RNA
Source: RNAcentral